RNAcentral lists this ribosomal RNA (1360 nucleotides) under Pseudomonas salomonii. RNAcentral describes it as "bacterial LSU rRNA". It matches the Rfam family "Bacterial large subunit ribosomal RNA", at positions 1586 to 2925 of the family's 2925-position model. The record is from RNAcentral. Lineage: Bacteria; Pseudomonadati; Pseudomonadota; Gammaproteobacteria; Pseudomonadales; Pseudomonadaceae.
CGAAGUGGUUGAUGCCAUGCUUCCAAGAAAAGCUUCUAAGCUUCAGGUAACCAGGAACCGUACCCCAAACCGACACAGGUGGUUGGGUAGAGAAUACCAAGGCGCUUGAGAGAACUCGGGUGAAGGAACUAGGCAAAAUGGCACCGUAACUUCGGGAGAAGGUGCGCCGGUGAGGGUGAAGGACUUGCUCCGUAAGCUCAUGCCGGUCGAAGAUACCAGGCCGCUGCGACUGUUUAUUAAAAACACAGCACUCUGCAAACACGAAAGUGGACGUAUAGGGUGUGACGCCUGCCCGGUGCCGGAAGGUUAAUUGAUGGGGUUAGCUAACGCGAAGCUCUUGAUCGAAGCCCCGGUAAACGGCGGCCGUAACUAUAACGGUCCUAAGGUAGCGAAAUUCCUUGUCGGGUAAGUUCCGACCUGCACGAAUGGCGUAACGAUGGCGGCGCUGUCUCCACCCGAGACUCAGUGAAAUUGAAAUCGCUGUGAAGAUGCAGUGUAUCCGCGGCUAGACGGAAAGACCCCGUGAACCUUUACUAUAGCUUUGCACUGGACUUUGAAUUUGCUUGUGUAGGAUAGGUGGGAGGCUUUGAAGCGUGGACGCCAGUCUGCGUGGAGCCAACCUUGAAAUACCACCCUGGCAACUUUGAGGUUCUAACUCAGGUCCGUUAUCCGGAUCGAGGACAGUGUAUGGUGGGUAGUUUGACUGGGGCGGUCUCCUCCUAAAGAGUAACGGAGGAGUACGAAGGUGCGCUCAGACCGGUCGGAAAUCGGUCGUAGAGUAUAAAGGCAAAAGCGCGCUUGACUGCGAGACAGACACGUCGAGCAGGUACGAAAGUAGGUCUUAGUGAUCCGGUGGUUCUGUAUGGAAGGGCCAUCGCUCAACGGAUAAAAGGUACUCCGGGGAUAACAGGCUGAUACCGCCCAAGAGUUCAUAUCGACGGCGGUGUUUGGCACCUCGAUGUCGGCUCAUCACAUCCUGGGGCUGAAGCCGGUCCCAAGGGUAUGGCUGUUCGCCAUUUAAAGUGGUACGCGAGCUGGGUUUAGAACGUCGUGAGACAGUUCGGUCCCUAUCUGCCGUGGACGUUUGAGAUUUGAGAGGGGCUGCUCCUAGUACGAGAGGACCGGAGUGGACGAACCUCUGGUGUUCCGGUUGUCACGCCAGUGGCAUUGCCGGGUAGCUAUGUUCGGAAUAGAUAACCGCUGAAAGCAUCUAAGCGGGAAACUAGCCUCAAGAUGAGAUCUCACUGGGACCUUGAGUCCCCUGAAGGGCCGUCGAAGACUACGACGUUGAUAGGUUGGGUGUGUAAGCGCUGUGAGGCGUUGAGCUAACCAAUACUAAUUGCCCGUGAGGCUUGACCAU